UAGCGAAAUUCCUUGUCGGGUAAGUUCCGACCCGCACGAAAGGCGUAAUGAUUUGAGCACUGUCUCGACAAUGCAUCCGGUGAAAUUGAAGUACCAGUGAAGAUGCUGGUUACCCGCGCCAGGACGGAAAGACCCCAUGGAGCUUUACUCCAGUUUGAUACUGGGAUUCGGUACUGUCUGUACAGGAUAGGUGGGAAGCUAGGAAAUGAUGACGCCAGUUGUCAUGGAGCUGACCUUGGGAUACCACCCUUACAGUACUGGGUUUCUAACCUGCAGCCGUGACCCGGCUGGGGGACAAUGUCUGACGGGGAGUUUGACUGGGGCGGUCGCCUCCGAAAGGGUAUCGGAGGCGCUCAAAGGUUCCCUCAGAAUGGUCGGAAACCAUUCGAAGAGUGCAAAGGCAGAAGGGAGCUUGACUGCGACACCGACGGGUGGAGCAGGUACGAAAGUAGGACUUAGUGAUCCGGUGGUAUAAAGUGGGAUUGCCAUCGCUCAACGGAUAAAAGCUACCCUGGGGAUAACAGGCUUAUCACUCCCAAGAGUUCACAUCGACGGAGUGGUUUGGCACCUCGAUGUCGGCUCAUCGCAUCCUGGGGCUGUAGCAGGUCCCAAGGGUUGGGCUGUUCGCCCAUUAAAGCGGUACGCGAGCUGGGUUCAGAACGUCGUGAGACAGUUCGGUCCCUAUCCGGCGUGGGCGUAGGAUAUUUGAGAGGAGCUGUCCUUAGUACGAGAGGACCGGGAUGGACGGACCGCUGGUGUAUCUGUUGUUGACCAACAGCAUGGCAGAGUAGCCAAGUCCGGCAGGGAUAAACGCUGAAGGCAUCUAAGCGUGAAGCCCCCCUCAAGAUUAGAUAUCCCAUUCUUUAAAGAAAUAAGACCCCUUGAAGACUACGAGGUUGAUAGGUCUGAGGUGUAAGUGCGGUAACGCAUUCAGCUGACAGAUACUAAUAGGUCGAAGACUUAUCCUG
Molecule: ribosomal RNA, 968 nt
Filed under: human gut metagenome
Description: bacterial LSU rRNA
Rfam family: Bacterial large subunit ribosomal RNA
Source: RNAcentral